AUUAGAUCAUUCUUCAGAGAUCCGUGAGGAUGGACUGUGGAGCAGAGCGGAGUAAAAAGAAGAAAAGUUAGAUAACUUGAAGACGAGCAAAAUGCAAAAGCGGCUGACAGGCGCAAAUGAAAAAAAAAUGUUGGUGAUAUGUAUGUAGAUGUAGUGAUGAUGUGGGAAAGCUGAGCGAUCGCCAAAAGAGGGCACAACUGACGCAUCGCUCGCAAUAUCUGAAUUUCAAAGAGAAACAUAUUUCGAGGAUAUUGAAAAUCCUUGAGAAGGAGCAAAGUUGCAGGAACAGCCGCAACGAGUACGGCGAUUCGAAAAGGCGAGCGCUCUAUAAAGGACGUGGCGAUUCGACCAGCGGAAUCAAAAAAGGAGAAUUCCUCUAGCACAAGCGCAGAGAAUCUUUGACGACGCCUCAAACAAUACAGGAUGAUUAAGCUGCCUCGAAAUGUAAUUACUUUACAAUUAAUAAACUACUGUAAGGUCAAUUAUAUAUGCAUCACAGGUCAACAACGAACUCCGACCGAUGAACAUCGUCAACCAAACACACGUUCCCGAACACGAUCAAUACUCGAUAUACUGCCGACCAGUGCGGAAAAAAGAGGAAUAAGGCUGCGAGAGACAAGGAUCUCGAAGAUGAAACCUCGUCAUUGACGACGGUGCUGGUGGCGAAGGCGGAUCGACAGUAAUUGGAGUCUGCCACAGACCGCGAACUUUGAACUUUCAAAAAAUAGUUACACGACCGCGAGGAAUCGAUAACCUGACGAGUGGCGAGAUAUCUAGACAGAGUUCAGCGCAUUUAAUCGCAACGUUUCCGCAUCGACCACUUUGGAUCCAUUAGCAAAAUGAUUGCUGAAAGAUAAAUUUUAUGAACCAAUCAUUCUUGCAGUGUGUCAAAUUUCAAAAUAAUAGCAGAUGUUUUUAUCAUUUGUUAAUCUUAAGCGAGUUGCAGUGGGGAAAUGAAAAGCACCUAUCCCAUAUAUGUAUAUAUGUAUGAUGAAUCUUGUUAUGUGUAUGUAUGCGUGUGAUUGAUGUGUUAAUAUAUGACAGAAAUAACCGAUUAAUUGGAUUUUAAUUGCACGUUAAAAGUGAGAAAGAUACAUUGUCUUCGUGAUCUCUUUGGUAAAAAAUUAAGACGAGAAUCUCUGCAACUUCGGUCGCGUCAAAGUUAAUUAUAAUCAAAUCCGUGAGUAAAAGAAAACGGAAAAGUUGCAUAAACCCGUCGAUCUUGCAGUUUUCGCCAACUCUAUAAGAAAAAAAACCUCCUCUUCAAAGAUCUUUCUAUAAAAAAUAUCGAAGCGCAAAAUAAAAAUAACGAAAGUCUAUGUCUUAUUGUCAGCUAAAAAAAUUCUGUUAUGACUUUAAUACACAAAAUCUUGCAAAUUUGUACUUACAAUAUAAAUAUAAUUAUUGAUAUGAAAAAUCAUAACAACGAUAUAAAUAAUUACAUAAUCACAAUAAAUAAUUAAAUAAUUACAUCAAGAUUUAUCAGUAAUACAUUCUUAAUUUUUUUUUAUUUUAAAACCGCAAUCAAUAUUCAUAUAAUAUAACUUCUAGACUCAAAGAUUUUGAUUAAUAUAUAUCGACUAAGAAAAAUAGAUUUGAUCAUCAACAAAAAGAAAAUUACAAUGUUUUCAAAAUUUUUAAACGAUGUUUACGACGUAAUAAUCUUCAAGUCUGAAACUAUCUCGCAUUGAGGAACUUACUAAAUGAAAAAAACUACAAUUUAUUAUUUUGAAAUCACGUGGAACGAGACGAAAAAGAUUCUAAUAAUUCACAAAAUUAACGUGAUAAUAUGAUAAGAUAAAAUAAUAAAACUAUGUUUAAAAAGGAAUUUGCGAUAAGCGUCCACGGAAUUCACGAAUAAAAAAUGAAAUUUCAUUUUUCAAAUGAAAAUCCAAAAUACUUGACAAAAGGAAUAUUGUUUUCAAUAUUGCUUUCAAUAAACGCUUGCGAUCAGAUGACUAUAGCACUAUUUAAACGAGGCGAAGGUCACAGAAGUUAUAGCGGAAGAAGCUGCUGGACGCGAUAAGAAUGUAUUUUGACUUUAGUAAUGUAAACAAACCGAAGAAUGAUCAAUCAUCGGUCUUGAAUAAAAAUGGAAAUUGUGACGACGGAUUUCUCGAGACAUUUCUAUUCAAUGUUUUGACAAAACAAAUGCGGAUUUUGUUACUUUUGCUUACUUCACUAACAUUUUUAUCGCCAACGAACUCGUUUUUUUGAUCGUCGCGCUCGUAAGAUAUGAUCUCGAGCAAUUAAUCGACAUGAUUGAAUAUUAUAAUUUAAAAGCGAUAACUGACGGGACUAGCGCAAUUAUCGAUUUUGCGGUCCCAGUUGUUGCAACAAAGCGCUUUCGCUUGUCUAUGACUUGUUAUAAUAAUUUGAUAUUAGAAGAGCCGAUGUAUGUGUAUGUGUGUGUGUGUGUGUGUGUGUGUGUGUGUGACCGUCCGUGACAUGAAAGUUAUGCAAAUACAUUGAUUUAAUUUUACUACCAUUUUAGUUCUGAAUACAAUACAUACAAAUACAUGGUUAAACAUCUGAGAAUACAAAAUUUUUUUUAUUAUUCUUUCUAAGAUCGCUAAAUUUAAACUUGUGAUCCAUAAAACGACAGCUUGCAUUCUUUUAAUCUUUAUAAUUACCGAUUAGCUAUUCUUCUAUUAUUUUUACAUAAUAAACAAUUUUUCAAAACUAAGACGUACGUCAAAAUAAUUACAACAUAGUGAAACAUGUGAGACUUCGUUAAAAUUCAGAUUCGUAUUUUAUAUUUGGCGAGCAAUUAACUGAGCCAUCGUCUUCUUCCUGAUUCGUCUCAUCCUUUCUUUUUUUUUCUCUUUCUUUCUCUUUCGCUUAAUUAAUUACGCCGUGGAACUGAAAAUUGCGCCGCGUGUAAUUCCCGAGCGGAUAAUGAGAGUCUGCUUACCAAGAAGGGACAGGGAGAGUCUCCCUCCUCCUCCCCAAGACAAUUUGGGGAAUCCGAAAAUGCCGGACGAGAGCUACCUGUUUAGCGGAUGCACCUGCGCAACAAUAAUAAUCAUUGUUUCAACGUCAACGUUUAUUAACGAGCCAAAUCAUAGGGCGUUGCGAGCUAUCCAUCUCUUCAUAAGUAGCACAUGGCCAAUUUCGAUUGAUUAUGGCAGGUAUAGUCGUGCGAGUAGUUCUGGAUUUUCGUGUCGAAGAAAAAAUAAUUCCCGAACAAUCGAUCAUGUAAUAAGAUCGUCGCGCGUUUAACUCUAAUCACAGCAUAACGCAUUUUUGAGAGAACAUUUGCAUAAAUGUGAGAUAAUUAAAUGAUGCGAUAAUAAA
Cataglyphis hispanica is the source of this 3297-nucleotide long non-coding RNA. RefSeq lists it as uncharacterized. The transcript is spliced from 4 exons. The record is from RefSeq and is a predicted model, not a curated record. NCBI's taxonomy places the organism in Eukaryota, Metazoa, Arthropoda, Insecta, Hymenoptera, Formicidae.